This 960-nucleotide ribosomal RNA is filed under the name uncultured bacterium. Its description in RNAcentral is "bacterial SSU rRNA". It matches the Rfam family "Bacterial small subunit ribosomal RNA", at positions 8 to 1002 of the family's 1533-position model. The record is from RNAcentral.
AGAGUUUGAUCAUGGCUCAGAAUCAACGCUGGCGGCGCGCUUAACACAUGCAAGUCGAACGGGAAAGUGGAGCAAUCCAUGAGUAGAGUGGCGUACGGGUGAGUAACACGUGGGUAUCUACCUCUUAGUGGGGAAUAACCCUGGGAAACCGGGGCUAAUACCGCAUAAGCCUGAGAAGGGAAAGCAGCAAUGCGCUGAGAGAGGAGCCCGCGGCCGAUUAGCUAGUUGGUAGGGUAACGGCCUACCAAGGCAAAGAUCGGUAGCCGGCCUGAGAGGGCACACGGCCACACUGGCACUGAAACACGGGCCAGACUCCUACGGGAGGCAGCAGUGGGGAAUCUUGCACAAUGGGGGCAACCCUGAUGCAGCGACGCCGCGUGAGCGAUGAAGCCCUUCGGGGUGUAAAGCUCUUUCGUCAGGGAAGAUCAUGACGGUACCUGGAGAAGCAGCUGCGGCUAACUACGUGCCAGCAGCCGCGGUAAUACGUAGGCAGCGAGCGUUGUUCGGAGUUACUGGGCGUAAAGGGUGUGUAGGCGGUUUCUUAAGUUUGGUGUGAAAUCUCCCGGCUCAACCGGGAGGGUGCGCCGAAUACUGAGGGACUAGAGUGCGGGAGAGGAAAGUGGAAUUCCUGGUGUAGCGGUGAAAUGCGUAGAUAUCAGGAGGAACACCGGUGGUGUAGACGGCUUUCUGGACCGUAACUGACGCUGAGACACGAAAGCGUGGGUAGCAAACAGGAUUAGAUACCCUGGUAGUCCACGCCCUAAACGAUGCAUAUUUGGUGUGGGUCAUUCAGUUGAUCCGUGCCGGAGCUAACGCGUUAAAUAUGCCGCCUGGGGAGUACAGUCGCAAGGCUGAAACUCAAAGGAAUUGACGGGGCCCGCACAAGCGGUGGAGCAUGUGGUUCAAUUCGACGCAACGCGAAGAACCUUACCUGGGCUCGAACGGCUUCUCAACGGCGGU